CUUGCUGAUACCGAUGGCGACCGGCGCACGGGUGAGUAACACGUAUCCAACCUGCCGAUAACUCGGGGAUAGCCUUUCGAAAGAAAGAUUAAUACCCGACGGUAUAAUAAAACCGCAUGGUUUAAUUAUUAAAGAAUUUCGGUUAUCGAUGGGGAUGCGUUCCAUUAGGCAGUUGGUGAGGUAACGGCUCACCAAACCUUCGAUGGAUAGGGGUUCUGAGAGGAAGGUCCCCCACAUUGGAACUGAGACACGGUCCAA
RNAcentral lists this ribosomal RNA (258 nucleotides) under uncultured bacterium. Its description in RNAcentral is "partial 16S ribosomal RNA". It matches the Rfam family "Bacterial small subunit ribosomal RNA", at positions 75 to 334 of the family's 1533-position model. The record is from RNAcentral.